RNAcentral lists this long non-coding RNA (1095 nucleotides) under Marmota monax (woodchuck). The record is from RNAcentral. Lineage: Eukaryota; Metazoa; Chordata; Mammalia; Rodentia; Sciuridae.
GAAAAAGCAGCAAGAAGGAGACAAGAUACUGGGGCAGUGGCUGCAGCAAUGGAGGAAAAGAGAUGAACACUAGGAGAUCUUCAGGAAGAAGAAUGGGCCUUGGUAACCCUGGAUUGGAAUGGGGUAAAGAGGACCCAAAGUUUCUUCCUUUGCCAGUGGGAUGGAGGCUUGGGGUUGCCCUGUUUGCUCUGUUCAUGGGAAAUGGUGUUCCUGUAGGACAUCCAGUGAGGGAGUGUGAAGGCUGCUGGGUAUAUAGUUCUGGGUUUAGGAGUUGGGUCACAGGUAAAGAUUCAUGAAUGGACAGAUAGUGGGACUGAAGGACACUUACUAGAAAAGUGUAACCCCAAGAAUAAAGAGGAAAACCAGGGGUUUGGGGGUCAGGGAAUACUGUGGUAAGAAAGCCAGCUGACAGAUCAGUUAAGACUGAGGUGUAUUCAGUUAAUAACAUGGAGAUUCUGGGUGGAGGUACCAUGGAAAGGAGUGGGAAGUGAAGCAGUGAUGCACACCUUUGCUGGGGGUUUUCUACUCCAAGCUCUACCACAUAGGCUGAGGUCUGGAGACCCUGAGUUCCAGGAAGAGAUAGUUGAAAGCUGGCAGCAGAGUUAGGCAAGGACUGGGUUCUCAGGCUCCAGGGUGCCACUCUGCUCACCUUGAUCUCAGGUCAAAGCCUUUGCUGAGUGACCUCUUCCAGGAGCUUUACCAAUCCCUGCUAACCCAGUCUGGUCAGCAGUGGCACAGACACAAGACAUUUCUAUGUGCAGGAGGCUCUGCGGGGGAGCAGGAGACUCAAAACUGAAUCUGGGACUGGACUCAGGCUUAUAAGCUCCUGGAAGACAGGGCUGCAGUGCUUGCCUGGGAAGUUAAUGCAGACAGGGUUGACCUGCUGUCUUGUAUCCCAAUGGGGACAAAGGAGAGGUGGGAUGGGGGAAGCACAGAGGAUUCCUGGACUGAAUUCCAAAAGAUUUGGGACAGUACUUUCUGCCUGUAUGAUCCUCCUGGGCCUAAGAAGCAGCGUCCCCAUCUGGGCCUAAGUAAUGAGAACUGUUGUAAGAAUUGGAGAAGCAGUUUUGUGUGUGCAAACCGUCCUCACUCGGC